This is a long non-coding RNA of Odontomachus brunneus, 812 nucleotides long. RefSeq lists it as uncharacterized. Lineage: Eukaryota; Metazoa; Arthropoda; Insecta; Hymenoptera; Formicidae. The transcript is spliced from 5 exons. The record is from RefSeq and is a predicted model, not a curated record.
CGAUAAACCAAACGAAACUGAAUUCUCCUAUAUGAAUCAAACAACUAUCGUAGCCACUGUUCCAAUAAAGUGGAAGAAAGAAUACGAAGAAAUAGAUCUUUUUUGUAAAUUCAACUUUCAACUUUCAAAAACUAGGCAAAAAACUCGUGAAACAGUACGAGUGGAAAAGAGUAUCUCAAGGUAAUACAAAAUUAGAAGAAAUCUUUGAAAAUUUGGAACAUGGCACAACUUAUAGAAUCCAAUCUGUGUUUUUAAUUAAUCAAGUUCCAGUAUAUGGCGAGUGGAAAAAUGUGGAUACUUAUUAUGAUUCAAUUAUAUUCGUGCCGGAUAAACUCGUCGGAUAAUCUGCUAUUCAUAAAUAAUGAUAAUGAAGAAAAGAGAAUAAUACAUGGGUUAAUUCUGUCUUUUCAUGUGCUUUGCCAAAUUUAACUCCAUAUAUUUCUUACAAUGUAACUAUACUCUAUAGGAAAAAGAAAAUAUUUUCUAAGGAAAUUCAUACAUUCGAAGGAGUUCCAUCGAAAGUGGGACCUCUUAUAGCGAUACUCUUGCCAAGUACGGAGGCUUAUUUUGGAUAUCGCCAAAGCGACCUAAUGGAAUAAUAAUGUAAUAUGUAAUACAGUUAACGGUAGUAGAGUAUUUUGGCUAUAAGAACGUCCACCUCCUCUAUCGAGUAAAUACAUUCUCGUAGAAAGGACAAAUAAAAUGGAUAACAGACUUUCUGAAUUACAUGCAUAUGCAAAGUAUAAUGUGCAAGUUAUAGCACGGAAUUCACGGUAUUUAAGUGUGCCUGCAGAGACGGAGUUUAGCUUAUC